GGGAGCUUGCUCCCGGAUGUUAGCGGCGGACGGGUGAGUAACACGUGGGUAACCUGCCUGUAAGACUGGGAUAACUCCGGGAAACCGGAGCUAAUACCGGAUAGUUCCUUGAACCGCAUGGUUCAAGGAUGAAAGACGGUUUCGGCUGUCACUUACAGAUGGACCCGCGGCGCAUUAGCUAGUUGGUGGGGUAAUGGCUCACCAAGGCGACGAUGCGUAGCCGACCUGAGAGGGUGAUCGGCCACACUGGGACUGAGACACGGCCCAGACUCCUACGGGAGGCAGCAGUAGGGAAUCUUCCGCAAUGGACGAAAGUCUGACGGAGCAACGCCGCGUGAGUGAUGAAGGUUUUCGGAUCGUAAAGCUCUGUUGUUAGGGAAGAACAAGUGCGAGAGUAACUGCUCGCACCUUGACGGUACCUAACCAGAAAGCCACGGCUAACUACGUGCCAGCAGCCGCGGUAAUACGUAGGUGGCAAGCGUUGUCCGGAAUUAUUGGGCGUAAAGGGCUCGCAGGCGGUUUCUUAAGUCUGAUGUGAAAGCCCCCGGCUCAACCGGGGAGGGUCAUUGGAAACUGGGAAACUUGAGUGCAGAAGAGGAGAGUGGAAUUCCACGUGUAGCGGUGAAAUGCGUAGAGAUGUGGAGGAACACCAGUGGCGAAGGCGACUCUCUGGUCUGUAACUGACGCUGAGGAGCGAAAGCGUGGGGAGCGAACAGGAUUAGAUACCCUGGUAGUCCACG
Molecule: ribosomal RNA, 740 nt
Filed under: Bacillus zhangzhouensis
Lineage: Bacteria; Bacillati; Bacillota; Bacilli; Caryophanales; Bacillaceae
Description: bacterial SSU rRNA
Rfam family: Bacterial small subunit ribosomal RNA
Source: RNAcentral